GCUCCUGACGGCCGGGUGGUUCGAUCCGUUUCUGCCGGGUCAGCUCGCCGACUUCGUUCGGAUCCGGCGCGAGGGCC
Molecule: transfer RNA, 77 nt
Filed under: Luteitalea pratensis
Lineage: Bacteria; Pseudomonadati; Acidobacteriota; Vicinamibacteria; Vicinamibacterales; Vicinamibacteraceae
Description: tRNA-Arg
Source: RNAcentral